GGGGUCGUAUUUGGCUUCGACAGGAAUAACGGAAGCUUAAUUGCAAGUCGUAGGAAUACGUUAAAUUCAAAAUUAAAUAUAGCUGGAAACGACUAUAAUACAAAUGCUGGUGGCGCUUUAGCUUUUGCUUAAGCCUUAUAAGAUAAAAGAGACAGCAUAUUUUAGUAAGUCUUUGUCUAUGAGAUUUAUUAAAAUUUUAUAAAGUAGACUAUAUUUUAUUAUUUUCCUAGGUAAUAAGAUGAAUAUUUUAGGAUAGUCUAUAGUUGUGUUUGUUAGUUAAUGUAUCUAUAGAUGAAUUUAUUUAACUGACUAAGCUUGUAGAGAUUGGGUGAUUAAGUUAUUUUUGGACAGGGGUUCGAUUCCCCUCGACUCCACCA
Molecule: transfer-messenger RNA, 377 nt
Filed under: Mollicutes bacterium
Lineage: Bacteria; Bacillati; Mycoplasmatota; Mollicutes
Also listed under: 2 other names
Rfam family: transfer-messenger RNA
About the family: Bacterial tmRNA, also known as 10Sa RNA or SsrA, is named for its dual tRNA and mRNA-like properties. Its role is to liberate the mRNA from a stalled ribosome.
Source: RNAcentral